RNAcentral lists this transfer RNA (77 nucleotides) under Alphaproteobacteria bacterium. RNAcentral's name for it is "tRNA-Pro". It matches the Rfam family "tRNA". Rfam says of the family: Transfer RNA (tRNA) molecules are approximately 80 nucleotides in length. Their secondary structure includes four short double-helical elements and three loops (D, anti-codon, and T loops). Further hydrogen bonds mediate the characteristic L-shaped molecular structure. tRNAs have two regions of fundamental functional importance: the anti-codon, which is responsible for specific mRNA codon recognition, and the 3' end, to which the tRNAs corresponding amino acid is attached (by aminoacyl-tRNA synthetases). tRNAs cope with the degeneracy of the genetic code in two manners: having more than one tRNA (with a specific anti-codon) for a particular amino acid; and 'wobble' base-pairing, i.e. permitting non-standard base-pairing at the 3rd anti-codon position. The record is from RNAcentral. RNAcentral also lists the same sequence under 1 other name. Lineage: Bacteria; Pseudomonadati; Pseudomonadota; Alphaproteobacteria.
CGGGAUAUAGCUCAGCCUGGUAGAGCGCUAGUUUUGGGUACUAGAUGUCGUAGGUUCGAAUCCUGCUAUCCCGACCA